This 487-nucleotide ribosomal RNA is filed under the name uncultured bacterium. RNAcentral describes it as "bacterial SSU rRNA". It matches the Rfam family "Bacterial small subunit ribosomal RNA", at positions 32 to 507 of the family's 1533-position model. The record is from RNAcentral.
AACGCUGGCGGCAUGCCUUACACAUGCAAGUCGAACGGCAGCAUGGAGGAGCUUGCUCCUCUGGAUGGCGAGUGGCGAACGGGUGAGUAAAGCAUCGGAACGUACCGUGUAGUGGGGGAUAACGUAGCGAAAGUUACGCUAAUACCGCAUACGCACUGAGGUGGAAAGCAGGGGAUCGCAAGACCUUGCGCUAUACGAGCGGCCGAUGUCAGAUUAGCUAGUUGGUAGGGUAAAGGCCUACCAAGGCGACGAUCUGUAGCGGGUCUGAGAGGAUGAUCCGCCACACUGGGACUGAGACACGGCCCAGACUCCUACGGGAGGCAGCAGUGGGGAAUUUUGGACAAUGGGGGAAACCCUGAUCCAGCCAUGCCGCGUGAGUGAAGAAGGCCUUCGGGUUGUAAAGCUCUUUCGGCUGGGAAGAAAUCGCACAGGCUAAUACUCUGUGUGGAUGACGGUACCAGCAUAAGAAGCACCGGCUAACUACGUG